UUUCGUACUUCAAAAUUAGUCAAUUAUAAAUGAUCAUGAUAAACAGGUGGUAAUGGGCAAUACCUAAAUCUUUUCUCGUUUGAUAUAAGAAAUAAGGUAACACUUCUGUUCCCAUGAAAAGUAUGAGUAUCUCUUUUUACAGAGAGUUGUCGAUCAUAUCUGAAUCUGAUGUCUAGUGGUUGUCGUUAUUUAUAUGUAGUUCAUUAGUGUUUCUCGUUUUUCGUUUUUGUAUAAAGAUUAGACCGUCGCUUUUCCUGUUUGAACAGUUUUUUAUACGCCUGUCAAAAUUUUGACGGGACGUAUUAUGGUAUACAAAUGUCCGGUGUCUGUCUGUCUGUCUGUCUGUCUGUCCAGCGUAAACAUGUCGCAUCGUAACUUGAGAACGACUUAUCCAAAUUUCAUGAAACUUAAUAUACAUGUAGUUGUUUCUUAUAAUUGUCAAAUGAUCUGUAUACUUUUUGGUGAAAAUAAGAUUUAAAAUUUUUGAGUUACGGCACUUUGUAACUAAAACAGGG
This 515-nucleotide long non-coding RNA is filed under the name Mytilus galloprovincialis (Mediterranean mussel). Lineage: Eukaryota; Metazoa; Mollusca; Bivalvia; Mytilida; Mytilidae. The record is from RNAcentral.